AUGAACGCUAGCGGCAGGCUUAACACAUGCAAGUCGAGGGGUAUGCUUCUUCGGAAGCAGAGACCGGCGCACGGGUGCGUAACGCGUAUGCAAUCUACCUUUUACAGAGGGAUAGCCCAGAGAAAUUUGGAUUAAUACCUCAUAGUAUAGCAGUUUCGCAUGAAACCACUAUUAAAGUCACAACGGUAAAAGAUGAGCAUGCGUCCCAUUAGCUAGUUGGUAAGGUAACGGCUUACCAAGGCUACGAUGGGUAGGGG
Molecule: ribosomal RNA, 257 nt
Filed under: Flavobacterium sp. ISO216_OTU5797
Lineage: Bacteria; Pseudomonadati; Bacteroidota; Flavobacteriia; Flavobacteriales; Flavobacteriaceae
Description: partial 16S ribosomal RNA
Rfam family: Bacterial small subunit ribosomal RNA
Source: RNAcentral